CUGUAAGCGUAUACCAAAGUUGUUGCAGUUAAAACGCUCGUAGUCGGAAUUUGGCAGUUCCGGAUGUGUGCACGUAGUGUGCGCACUUCGCGGGGAUUGCUUUUGUGGUCUUGCGUAGGAUGAGGCACUUUUAUUAGUGAACGUCCUCACGCAACCACUUUUUACUGUGAGAAAAUCAGAGUGCUCAAAGCAGGCAUUUGCCGUGAAUGUAUUAGCAUGGAAUAAUAGAAUAGGACUUGGUUCUAUUUUGUUGGUUUGUUGGGACUGAGUAAUGAUUAAGAGGGACAGUUGGGGGCAUUUGUAUUUCGGUGCUAGAGGUGAAAUUCUUAGAUUACCGAAAGACAAACUGCUGCGAAAGCGUCUGCCAAGGAUGUUUUCAUUGA
RNAcentral lists this ribosomal RNA (383 nucleotides) under uncultured eukaryote. Its description in RNAcentral is "partial 18S ribosomal RNA". It matches the Rfam family "Eukaryotic small subunit ribosomal RNA", at positions 591 to 976 of the family's 1831-position model. The record is from RNAcentral.